This 397-nucleotide ribosomal RNA is filed under the name Cryomonadida sp. Its description in RNAcentral is "partial small subunit ribosomal RNA". It matches the Rfam family "Eukaryotic small subunit ribosomal RNA", at positions 582 to 975 of the family's 1831-position model. Lineage: Eukaryota; Cercozoa; Thecofilosea; Cryomonadida. The record is from RNAcentral.
AUUCCAGCUCCAAUAGCGUAUAUUAAAGUUGUUGCGGUUAAAAAGCUCGUAGCUGGAUUUCUGCUGAGGACGACUGGUCCGCUGCCGUUAGGUAUGUGAGUGCCGGUGCGCGUUUACCAUCCUUCCAGAGAACACUUCUACCAUUUAUUUGGACGGAUGUUGUCUUCUGGAUCUUUUACUUUGAAAAAAUUAGAGUGUUUAAAGCAGGCCUUUGCUGUGAAUACAUUAGCAUGGAAUAAUAAUCUAGGACUUCGGUUCUAUUUUGUUGGUUUCUAGUACUGAAGUAAUGAUUGAUAGGGAUAGUUGGGGGUGCUAGUAUUGGCCGGCCAGAGGUGAAAUUCUUGGAUUCGGUCAAGACUAACUUAUGCGAAAGCAUUCACCAAGGAUGUCUUCAUCA